RNAcentral lists this unclassified non-coding RNA (217 nucleotides) under Hevea brasiliensis (rubber tree). Lineage: Eukaryota; Viridiplantae; Streptophyta; Magnoliopsida; Malpighiales; Euphorbiaceae. The record is from RNAcentral.
GUGGCUGCAAUGGUUGAUUGGCCUAUGCCUACUUCAGUUAAAGAACCUAUAAGUUUUCUAGGCCUAACUGGGUAUUAUAGGAAAUUUAUUAGGCACUAUGGCAUUAUUUGUAGGCCUCUAAAUGAUUUACUGAAGAAGGAUUCCUUUCAUUGGAAUGAGGCAGCCUAAACUGCAUUUGAUACUUUGAGGAGAAUGAUGUCUGAAGCACCAGUCCUUG